CAGUCGCCGCGGUAAUACGAAGGGGGCUAGCGUUACUCGGAAUCACUGGGCGUAAAGCGUGCGUAGGUGGUGGUUUAAGUCCGUUGUGAAAGCCCUGGGCUCAACCUGGGAAUUGCAGUGGAUACUGGGUCACUAGAGUGUGGUAGAGGAUAGUGGAAUUUCCGGUGUAGCAGUGAAAUGCGUAGAGAUCGGAAAGAACACCAACGGCGAAAGCACUCUGCUGGGCCGACACUGACACUGAGGCACGAAAGCGUGGGGAGCAAACAGGAUUAGAUACCCCCGUAGUCCCUGUCUCUUAUAC
RNAcentral lists this ribosomal RNA (301 nucleotides) under uncultured bacterium. Its description in RNAcentral is "partial 16S ribosomal RNA". It matches the Rfam family "Bacterial small subunit ribosomal RNA", at positions 509 to 807 of the family's 1533-position model. The record is from RNAcentral.